This 87-nucleotide transfer RNA is filed under the name Marine Group III euryarchaeote CG-Epi6. Its description in RNAcentral is "tRNA-Leu". It matches the Rfam family "tRNA". From Rfam's summary of the family: Transfer RNA (tRNA) molecules are approximately 80 nucleotides in length. Their secondary structure includes four short double-helical elements and three loops (D, anti-codon, and T loops). Lineage: Archaea; Methanobacteriati; Thermoplasmatota; Thermoplasmata; Candidatus Thermoprofundales. The record is from RNAcentral. RNAcentral also lists the same sequence under 7 other names.
GCGGGGGUCGCAUAGCCAGGCCAAUUGCGCUGGGUUUAGGUCCCAGUCCUUAGUGGUACGUGGGUUCAAAUCCCUCCCCCCGCACCA